AGUGAACGCUGGCGGUAGGCCUAACACAUGCAAGUCGAACGGCAGCAUAGUAAGAGCUUGCUCUUACGGGUGGCGAGUGGCGGACGGGUGAGGAAUACAUCAGAAUCUACUUUUUUGUGGGGGAUAACGUAGGGAAACUUACGCUAAUACCGCAUACGACCUACGGGUGAAAGCAGGGGAUCUUCGGACUUUGCGCGAUUGAAUGAGCUGAUGUCGGAUUAGCUAGUUGGCGGGGUAAAGGCCCACUAAGGCGACGAUCCGUUGCUGGUCUGAGAGGAUGAUCAGCCACACUGGAACUGAGACACGAUCCAGACUCCGACGGGAGGCAGCGGUGGGGAAGAUUGGACAAAGGGCGCAAUCCUGAACCAGCCAUACCGGGUGGGUGAAGAAGGCCUGCGGGUUGUAAAGCCCUUUUGUUGGGAAAGAAAAGCAGCAGGUGAAUACCCGGCUGUUCUGACGGUACCCAAAGAAUAAGCACCGGCUAACUUCGUG
Molecule: ribosomal RNA, 492 nt
Filed under: uncultured bacterium
Lineage: Bacteria
Description: partial 16S ribosomal RNA
Rfam family: Bacterial small subunit ribosomal RNA
Source: RNAcentral